Molecule: ribosomal RNA, 492 nt
Filed under: uncultured bacterium
Lineage: Bacteria
Description: partial 16S ribosomal RNA
Rfam family: Bacterial small subunit ribosomal RNA
Source: RNAcentral
AGUGAACGCUGGCGGUAGGCCUAACACAUGCAAGUCGAACGGCAGCACAGUAAGAGCUUGCUCUUACGGGUGGCGAGUGGCGGACGGGUGAGGAAUACAUCGGCAUCUACUUUUUCGUGGGGGAUAACGUAGGGAAACUUACGCUAAUACCGCAUACGACCUACGGGUGAAAGCAGGGGAUCUUCGGACCUUGCGCGAUUGAAUGAGCCGAUGUCGGAUUAGCUAGUUGGCGGGGUAAAGGCCCACCAAGGCGACGAUCCGUAGCUGGUCUGAGAGGAUGAUCAGCCACACUGGAACUGAGACACGGUCCAGACUCCUACGGGAGGCAGCAGUGGGGAAUAUUGGACAAUGGGCGCAAGCCUGAUCCAGCCAUACCGCGUGAGUGAAGAAGGCCUUCGGGUUGUAAAGCCCUUUUGUUGGGAAAGAAAAGCAGCAGGUUAAUACCCCGCUGUUCCGACGGUACCCAAAGAAUAAGCACCGGCUAACUUCGUG